This 23-nucleotide ribosomal RNA is filed under the name Terfezia claveryi. Its description in RNAcentral is "partial 18S ribosomal RNA". The record is from RNAcentral. Lineage: Eukaryota; Fungi; Ascomycota; Pezizomycetes; Pezizales; Pezizaceae.
GAAGGGUACUGCGGAGGACAUUA